ACGCACGCUGGCGGCGUGCUUAACACCUGCAAGUCGAACGGAAAGGCUCCAGCUUGCUGGAGUACUCGAGUGGCGAACGGGUGAGUAACACGUGGGUAAUCUGCCCUGCACUCUGGGAUAAGCCUGGGAAACUGGGUCUAAUACUGGAUAUGACCUUUCUCCUUAUGGGGUUUGGUGGAAAGUUUUUCGGUGUAGGAUGAGCCCGCGGCCUAUCAGCUUGUUGGUGGGGUGAUGGCCUACCAAGGCGAAGACGGGUAGCCGGCCUGAGAGGGUGAUCGGCCACAUUGGGACUGAGAUACGGCCCAGACUCCUACGGGAGGCAGCAGUGGGGAAUAUUGCACAAUGGGAGGAAGCCUGAUGCAGCGACGCCGCGUGAGGGAUGACGGCCUUCGGGUUGUAAACCUCUUUCAGCAGGGACGAAGCGUAAGUGACGGUACCUGCAGAAGAAGCACCGGCUAACUACGUG
This 466-nucleotide ribosomal RNA is filed under the name uncultured bacterium. Its description in RNAcentral is "partial 16S ribosomal RNA". It matches the Rfam family "Bacterial small subunit ribosomal RNA", at positions 29 to 507 of the family's 1533-position model. The record is from RNAcentral.